UCACGCGUGUCUGUUUGUGUUGGGAGGUUGUGAGCGUGUUUGGGUCAGGAGUCUGGCUUUCUCCAGAGACGGACUGGUUUUAGCAUCCACCGCUGAAGGCGACAUGGUGAGGAUCUGGGAUGUGACCACUGGAGUCUGUCUGAAGAGGCUGCAGGGUCAUAAGGACUCGGCAUACGGCUGUGUGUUCACUCCUGAUGGGAAGCUUCUCACCAGCGGUUCUGAGCAGCUGGAUGUAGAAGAGGAUGAGGAAAACAGCACAGAGGAGAGAAGUGAGAGUUUAAACACAGAACAGGACAGUAAAGAUGAUGGACCAUGAGGACGGUCAGUACAUUGUGACCCACGGUGAAUGAAAACAGCGGUGGAACUACAUCCAGUUUUACUCAGAUAAUCAGCGAUUAUAAACUCACCGACACACACCUCCACAGUGAAUGUCAUGCGGCAUUCUGCAUGUCUGAAUGAACGCAUUUAUGAGACGAGCAUCCAUGAAAACAACCACAAUA
This is a long non-coding RNA of Sinocyclocheilus grahami, 500 nucleotides long. RefSeq lists it as uncharacterized. The record is from RefSeq and is a predicted model, not a curated record. The transcript is spliced from 3 exons. Lineage: Eukaryota; Metazoa; Chordata; Actinopteri; Cypriniformes; Cyprinidae.